RNAcentral lists this ribosomal RNA (478 nucleotides) under uncultured bacterium. RNAcentral describes it as "partial 16S ribosomal RNA". It matches the Rfam family "Bacterial small subunit ribosomal RNA", at positions 28 to 523 of the family's 1533-position model. The record is from RNAcentral.
GAUGAACGCUGACAGAAUGCUUAACACAUGCAAGUCUACUUGAUUCUACUUCGGUAGUUGAUGGUGGCGGACGGGUGAGUAACGCGUAAAGAAUCUGCCCUUUAGUUUGGGAUAACCUUUGGAAACGAAGGCUAAUACCGGAUAUUAUGGAGAUGUCGCAUGGCGACUCCAUGAAAGCUAUGUGCGCUGGCGGAGGACUUUGCGUCCCAUUAGUUAGUUGGUGGGGUAAUGGCUCACCAAGGCCGCGCUGGGUCGCCGGCCUGAGAGGGUGAUCGGCCACAAGGGAACUGAGACACGGUCCUUACUCCUACGGGGGGAAGCAGUGGGGAAUAUUGGACAAUGGGCCACAAGCCUGAUCCAGCAAUUCUGUGUGCACGAUGAAGGUCUUCGGAUUGUAAAGUGCUUUCAGUAGGAAAGAAAAAAAUGACGGUACCUACAGAAGAAGCGACGGCUAAAUAUGUGCCAGCAGCCGCCGUAA